AUCUUAUCCAGAGCGGUAGAGGGACUGGCCCUUUGAAGCCCAGCAACCUACAUGAAAUUGAUGUAAGGUGCUAACCUGUUGCAGGAAAGUGAUUUCCUGAACGAUGAGAG
Molecule: regulatory RNA element, 110 nt
Organism: Listeria grayi DSM 20601
Lineage: Bacteria; Bacillati; Bacillota; Bacilli; Caryophanales; Listeriaceae
Rfam family: SAM riboswitch aptamer (S box leader)
About the family: The SAM riboswitch is found upstream of a number of genes which code for proteins involved in methionine or cysteine biosynthesis in Gram-positive bacteria.
Source: Rfam